RNAcentral lists this ribosomal RNA (484 nucleotides) under uncultured bacterium. Its description in RNAcentral is "partial 16S ribosomal RNA". It matches the Rfam family "Bacterial small subunit ribosomal RNA", at positions 30 to 507 of the family's 1533-position model. The record is from RNAcentral.
AUUGAACGCUGGCGGCAGGCCUAACACAUGCAAGUCGAGCGGAUGAAGGGAGCUUGCUCCUGGAUUCAGCGGCGGACGGGUGAGUAAUGCCUAGGAAUCUGCCUGGUAGUUGGGGAUAACGUCCGGAAACGGGCGCUAAUACCGCAUACGUCCUGAGGGAGAAAGUGGGGGAUCUUCGGACCUCACGCUAUCAGAUGAGCCUAGGUCGGAUUAGCUAGUUGGUGGGGUAAAGGCCUACCAAGGCGACGAUCCGUAACUGGUCUGAGAGGAUGAUCAGUCACACUGGAACUGAGACACGGUCCAGACUCCUACGGGAGGCAGCAGUGGGGAAUAUUGGACAAUGGGCGAAAGCCUGAUCCAGCCAUGCCGCGUGUGUGAAGAAGGUCUUCGGAUUGUAAAGAACUUUAAGUUGGGAGGAAGGGCAGUAAGUUAAUACCUUGCUGUUUUGACGUUACCAACAGAAUAAGCACCGGCUAACUUCGUG